This 240-nucleotide unclassified non-coding RNA is filed under the name soil metagenome. RNAcentral describes it as "partial contains 5.8S ribosomal RNA, internal transcribed spacer 2, and large subunit ribosomal RNA". The record is from RNAcentral.
AACUGAUACUACCUGCGGGAACCUGCGGAGGGAUCAUCACUGAUUCUCGGGGGAGGAGUGUGUGUGUGUGUGUUCCCGCGCUGCUGCGCGCACGCUUGUGUGUGUUGGUAGCGGGGUGAGCACGCGCGCGCACGCACACCCCAACCAAUCUUUUGUGCACGGUUUCACGGUCAACGAGGCGCCGCGCGUGUGUUGGCGAGUAGUAGUGUGGUGCGUGUCCCCCCAAUGUAGUAGUGCGGU